This is a small nuclear RNA of Rhinolophus ferrumequinum (greater horseshoe bat), 107 nucleotides long. The record is from Ensembl. Lineage: Eukaryota; Metazoa; Chordata; Mammalia; Chiroptera; Rhinolophidae.
GUGCUCACUUCAGCAGCAUAUAUACUAAAAUUGGAACAAAACAGAGAAGAUUAUCAUGGCCCCUGCACAAGGGUGACCCACAAAUUCAUGACGCGUUCCAUGUUUUU